RNAcentral lists this long non-coding RNA (577 nucleotides) under Salmo salar (Atlantic salmon). RNAcentral describes it as "lncRNA (ENSSSAG00000091741.1)". The record is from RNAcentral. Lineage: Eukaryota; Metazoa; Chordata; Actinopteri; Salmoniformes; Salmonidae.
UUUUUUUGCGCCUGCUCAUAAAUCUGAGAAACGUGAGUUUGUCAUCAUUUUUUAUCUAGACAUAGGAUAGGUUGUGUGAAAAUAUUACUGAUGUUUAACGUUAAAAAAUGGACCAAAAGAUUAAUGCUAAACAACAUUUGACAUGUUUGAACGAACAUAAAUAGAUUAUUUACUAGGUUUUUUUAGCUUUUCGGCGUGAUUUUACCAGCCCCCCACCACGUUUUGUGGGAGCAUAAUGAACGCUAAGUACUUGGUGUUAUUUGGACAUAAAUUAUGAACUUUGUCAAAAGAAACCACAUUUGUUCCGGACCUGGAAUGCCUUCCGGACCUGGGAUCCUGCCUUCUGAUGGAGAUAAUCAAAGUGUUUCUUGGAUUUUCUGCCUGCUAAUUGGAGGGAUAACUUGUUUUACACUUAAAGGUAAUUCUAAUGGGCAUCAUGCCUACUCUGGACCUGAACCAACUGGAUCCUAUGCCAAAGCAAGUGUGGUGCCUAGUCCAAAUGCUAAAGCUACUGGCCACAAUGCCACGUCAGCAGAAGCUACUGGCCACAAUGCCACGUCAGCAGAAGCUAUUGGCC